Molecule: ribosomal RNA, 454 nt
Filed under: uncultured bacterium
Lineage: Bacteria
Description: bacterial SSU rRNA
Rfam family: Bacterial small subunit ribosomal RNA
Source: RNAcentral
UACGGGAGGCAGCAGUGGGGAAUAUUGCACAAUGGGCGAAAGCCUGAUGCAGCUAUGCCGCGUGUAUGAAGAAGGCCUUCGGGUUGUAAAGUACUUUCAGUCGUGAGGAAGGUGUUAAGGUUAAUAACCUUAGCAAUUGACGUUAGCGACAGAAGAAGCACCGGCUAACUCCGUGCCAGCAGCCGCGGUAAUACGGAGGGUGCGAGCGUUAAUCGGAAUUACUGGGCGUAAAGGGCACGCAGGCGGUUAAUUAAGUUGGAUGUGAAAUCCCCGGGCUUAACCUGGGAAUGGCAUUCAAGACUGGUUAGCUAGAGUCUUGUAGAGGGGGUAGAAUUCCAUGUGUAGCGGUGAAAUGCGUAGAGAUGUGGAGGAAUACCGGUGGCGAAGGCGGCCCCUGGGACAAAGACUGACGCUCAUGUGCGAAAGCGUGGGGAGCAAACAGGGAUUAGAUACC